UACAGAGGUCUCAACCGUUGUUCGGAUUCAUUGGGCGUAAAGGGUGCGUAGGCGGUCGUGCAAGUCGGAUGUGAAAUCUCAGGGCUCAACCCUGAAACUGCAUUCGAUACUGCGCGGCUAGAGUGCUGGAGGGGAGACUGGAAUUUACGGUGUAGCAGUGAAAUGCGUAGAUAUCGAGAGGAACACCUGCGGCGAAGGCGGGUUGCUGGGCUGACACUGACGCUGAUGCGCGAAAGCGUGGGGAGCAAACAGG
RNAcentral lists this ribosomal RNA (253 nucleotides) under uncultured bacterium. RNAcentral describes it as "partial 16S ribosomal RNA". It matches the Rfam family "Bacterial small subunit ribosomal RNA", at positions 524 to 776 of the family's 1533-position model. The record is from RNAcentral.